AUGGCCCUGACUGAAGAAGACCAGCUGUUGGUUUCAAGCAGAGGCCUCCACGAAUGACUUCCUAUGAUUUGUUGGCAUCUCUGGAGAAUGACUAUUUCAUUUGGAAGAAACAACU
RNAcentral lists this small nucleolar RNA (115 nucleotides) under Cavia porcellus (domestic guinea pig). The record is from RNAcentral. Lineage: Eukaryota; Metazoa; Chordata; Mammalia; Rodentia; Caviidae.